Herpailurus yagouaroundi (jaguarundi) is the source of this 1190-nucleotide long non-coding RNA. RefSeq lists it as uncharacterized. The record is from RefSeq and is a predicted model, not a curated record. NCBI's taxonomy places the organism in Eukaryota, Metazoa, Chordata, Mammalia, Carnivora, Felidae. The transcript is spliced from 2 exons.
GGGUAGCCUCUACUCUGUUUUUAGAGCUUGUCUUGUGUCUGCCUAUUCAAGGAGGCACAUCUUGAAGUGGCGUCCUUUACCCCCUUCUGUGCUCUUUCCCCUCCUGCAGCUUGAUCUGAUGCAUCCUGUUGUGAGUCCACACAGUGCUUGCCGACCUGCGUCAGGAUCUUGGCUCUGUAGCUACCUGGCUACGGAGGUGAUGGCGAGCAGUCCUCCUGUUCAGGACGGUGGGUUAUGUCACCUCCCGGGAUUAUCACAGAGUAAACAGGCUAAUAACUACAGCUCUGAAAAACAGUGCCCGCCACACGAGUCCAAUAACCGUUGGUGGUGGUUUCACUUGUUUUUCUUCUGAUAGUAAAUGUGAAGUGGCUGGCGCCUAAUUGCUUACCAAGAUGACGCAUAGUAUCUGUUUAAUACAAUUCAUAUUGCUAAUAGUAGCUGCCAUGUACUGAAUAUUCACUAUGUGCCAAAGUGGGUAAAGCACUUACGUUACCGCACCUUCGCUGUAGUCCCACGAAUGUAGUCUGCUCUCGACAAUCCCCGUUUCAUCAACAAGAAAAUCCAGCCCAGAGCGGGCUGUCCCACUUGGGCAGGGCCACGAAACAAGUGUAUAGCCUGCUCGUCCGCUGAAUGUCAGAACCUCCCGUUAGCCUUGCUGUUUUCUACCUCUGAUGUUACAGUGAUUACAUAGCGAUAUACAUGUGUGAUUUAUAAUAAGAAAUAAUUUAUUUGGUCUUCAUCCCCAUUUCUGGUACAGAUCUCCUAAAACCUUGGAAUUUCCUUGGAAUUGAGUGAUGAAGGUGCCUUGAACAUGUUCAUGAGGUGACUUUCUGAAAGCACGUAGGGGUGGGACUGGUUGCCAAGAGAACUGACCAAGUCCUGGAGGGUUGGUACUUCCAGCCCCCACCCGCCUGAUCUCUGGGCGGGGAGAGGAGUUGGUGGUUGGAUCAGACACCAAUGGCCAGUGACUUAAUUGAUCGUGCCUAUAUAAUGGAGCCGCCCUAAAACCCCAAAAGCAUGGGUUCUGGAAGCUUUCAGGUUGGUGAACAUGUGGAGAUGUUGGAGAGACCCAGACACCCUUUCUCUGUACCUGGUCCCGAGCAUCCCUUACAUCUGGCUGUUCUCGAGUUCUGUGCUUUUAUCAUAAAUCACUAAUCUAGUGAGUAAAAUGUUUCUCUGGAUUCUGUGAA